UUGCUUCCCUUUCCCCAGCAGCCAGAAGGGAUAAUAGCACCUAUUUCACUUGUACUCAAGUGUUCACUUGUUAGCAGGAACUGAGUCCCGGAGGAGGUGCAGGCGGAGCCAUUGAGGCAGCACUGCAGCUGGACCUGGGUCUGAGUCCCAGCUCCUGGCUGUGAUAUGCGUCACUCUCUCCAUUUAUUUAUCUGAAGGACGGGGCUGUGCUGUUCUGGGGUCACUGUGAGAAUGCAGCUGGCCAGUGAGUACAGAGGAACCUGGUGCCGGCCGCAGUCAACCCCAAUGUGAAGAUCUUUCUACCCACCCUCUUUGGUGUCUUGUUGCUGUCUUUGGCCAGUAGGGGGGCUGCAGGGGUCAGCCUCAGUCUCUGCCUUGGGAGCCUGCCUUACCUUGCCUGAAGUCAAGCAAUCUGCCUGCCUUGGACUCCCAAAGUGCUGCGAUUAUAGGCAUGAGCCACUGCACCCAGCCCAGCCUUGACUUUGAAAUAUAUGUUGUACAUCCGGACAGCAGUGAACUGUGGGGGAACACCAAAGAUGAGGAGAAUGAGAGAAGAGAUACCUCCAAUUAAAGGAGUUAAGAAG
Long non-coding RNA from Gorilla gorilla gorilla (western lowland gorilla), 584 nucleotides. RefSeq lists it as uncharacterized. The record is from RefSeq and is a predicted model, not a curated record. Lineage: Eukaryota; Metazoa; Chordata; Mammalia; Primates; Hominidae. The transcript has 3 exons.